RNAcentral lists this ribosomal RNA (454 nucleotides) under Phaeocystis sp. JD-2012. RNAcentral describes it as "SSU rRNA". It matches the Rfam family "Eukaryotic small subunit ribosomal RNA", at positions 434 to 891 of the family's 1831-position model. Lineage: Eukaryota; Haptophyta; Phaeocystales; Phaeocystaceae. The record is from RNAcentral.
GCGUAAAUUGCCCGAAUCCUGACACAGGGAGGUAGUGACAAGAAAUAACAAUACAGGGCUACUUCUAGUCUUGUAAUUGGAAUGAGUACAACUUACAUCUCUUCACGAGGAUCAAUUGGAGGGCAAGUCUGGUGCCAGCAGCCGCGGUAAUUCCAGCUCCAAUAGCGUAUAUUAAAGUUGUUGCAGUUAAAAAGCUCGUAGUCGGAUUUCGGGGCGGGCCGAGCGGUCUGCCGAUGGGUAUGCACUGUUCGGCGCGUCCUUCUUUCCGGAGACUAGUUCUACUCUUAACUGAGCGGGACUGGGAGACGGAUCGUUUACUUUGAAAAAAUCAGAGUGUUUCAAGCAGGCAGCUCGCUCUUGCAUGGAUUAGCAUGGGAUAAUGAAAUAGGACUCUGGUGCUAUUUUGUUGGUUUCGAACACCGGAGUAAUGAUUAACAGGGACAGUCAGGGGCAC